GUCUGCGUAGCUCAGUUGGAUAGAGCGACCGCCUCCUAAGCGGUAGGCCGGGUGUUCAAGUCACCUCGCGGACACCA
Molecule: transfer RNA, 77 nt
Filed under: Angelakisella sp.
Lineage: Bacteria; Bacillati; Bacillota; Clostridia; Eubacteriales; Oscillospiraceae
Description: tRNA-Arg
Rfam family: tRNA
About the family: Transfer RNA (tRNA) molecules are approximately 80 nucleotides in length. Their secondary structure includes four short double-helical elements and three loops (D, anti-codon, and T loops).
Source: RNAcentral